This 1055-nucleotide ribosomal RNA is filed under the name Bovista tomentosa. Its description in RNAcentral is "eukaryotic LSU rRNA". The stretch from base 648 to 1055 matches the Rfam family "Eukaryotic large subunit ribosomal RNA", at positions 1 to 402 of the family's 3401-position model. Lineage: Eukaryota; Fungi; Basidiomycota; Agaricomycetes; Agaricales; Lycoperdaceae. The record is from RNAcentral.
CAUUAUUGAAUACUCUUGAUGGGUUGUAGCUGGCUCUUCGGGGCAUGUGCACGCCUGUCUUGACUUUAUUCAUCCACCUGUGCACCUUUUGUAGUCUUGGAGGUUGAGAGCAGUCGACUAUCGGAUACUUUCCGGAUGUGACGAAUUGCUGAGUGCGAAAGCAUACAGCUCUUCUCAAAUGACUUGCAACACUUCUCCUUCAAGUACUAUGUAUUCAUAUACCACAUAGUAUGUUGUAGAAUGUGAUCAAUGGGCUUAUAUGCCUAUAAUAAUCAUAUACAACUUUCAGCAACGGAUCUCUUGGCUCUCGCAUCGAUGAAGAACGCAGCGAAAUGCGAUAAGUAAUGUGAAUUGCAGAAUUCAGUGAAUCAUCGAAUCUUUGAACGCACCUUGCGCUCCUUGGUAUUCCGAGGAGCAUGCCUGUUUGAGUGUCAUUAAAUUCUCAACCCCUCCAGCUUUUGCGAGCUGUGAUGGGGCUUGGAUGUUGGGGGUUUGCGGGCCUUACAAAGGUCGGCUCUCCUGAAAUACAUUAGCGGAACCGUUUGCAGUCCCGUCACUAGUGUGAUAAUUAUCUACACUGUGAUGAUUGCUCUCUGACUAGUUCAGCUGCUAAUCGUCCACUAUCGGACAAUAUUUAAUGAACUUCUUGACCUCAAAUCAGGUAGGACUACCCGCUGAACUUAAGCAUAUCAAUAAGCGGAGGAAAAGAAACUAACAAGGAUUCCCCUAGUAACUGCGAGUGAAGCGGGAAAAGCUCAAAUUUAAAAUCUGGCGGUCUCUGGCCGUCCGAGUUGUAAUCUAGAGAAGUGAUGCCCGCGCUGGACCGUGUACAAGUCUCCUGGAAUGGAGCGUCAUAGAGGGUGAGAAUCCCGUCUCUGACACGGACUACCAGGGCUUUGUGGUACGCUCUCAAAGAGUCGAGUUGUUUGGGAAUGCAGCUCUAAAUGGGUGGUAAAUUCCAUCUAAAGCUAAAUAUUGGCGAGAGACCGAUAGCGAACAAGUACCGUGAGGGAAAGAUGAAAAGAACUUUGGAAAGAGAGUUAAACAGUACGUGA